UACAGAGAGUGCAAGCGUUAAUCGGAAUCAUUGGGCGUAAAGCGCGCGUAGGUGGAUGUUUAAGUCGGAUGUGAAAGCCCUAGGCUUAACCUGGGAAUUGCAUUCGAUACUGGAUAUCUUGAGUCUGGUAGAGGGAAGUGGAAUUUCCGGUGUAGCGGUGAAAUGCGUAGAUAUCGGAAGGAACACCAGUGGCGAAGGCGGCUUCCUGGACCAGUACUGACACUGAGGUGCGAAAGCGUGGGGAUCAAACAGG
RNAcentral lists this ribosomal RNA (253 nucleotides) under uncultured Coxiella sp. RNAcentral describes it as "partial 16S ribosomal RNA". It matches the Rfam family "Bacterial small subunit ribosomal RNA", at positions 524 to 776 of the family's 1533-position model. Lineage: Bacteria; Pseudomonadati; Pseudomonadota; Gammaproteobacteria; Legionellales; Coxiellaceae. The record is from RNAcentral.